AAACCGUCCAUAACCAAGCAUGUACGUCUCGCCAACCUCGCAACAUGAAAAAGAAAACAUAUUUUUUAUCUUAUGUCGAGAAAUACACGUCUUAGAAUUGAACACAUUCAAAUGUAUUGUGAUUUGUGAGCAUUGAGGCCACGGUCGGCGUAGGUGAAAAUAAUUAAAAUAAAAGACAUGAAUCUAUUGGGAUCUUGACUCAGGUUACUGGGUUAGGGACAUGUGGUAUUUUUUUCAUUGCAAUGCACGAACUAUUUUUGUAGUUUAUCAUGAAGGGUCUUUGAUAUUAUUUGUGUCACUUUUCUCAUUAUUUAUACUGACAGAGAAAAAAAAUUGAUAUCCAACUCGCCUUCCACAUGUACAAGCUCUGCGGAAUAAAAAUCUCAAGCGGCAAAUUGAGCCAAGAGCUUAUGGUUAGUUUUUUCAUGGUCGAACCAGUUCAUAAGUGUUUCAAAUUCUAAACUUAACUUUAGUGCUCGUAUAUUUCUAUUUUUAUUUUAAUCUUUUCGAUGAUGCUUAUGUUUACAUGG
This 530-nucleotide long non-coding RNA is filed under the name Hordeum vulgare. Its description in RNAcentral is "long non-coding RNA (HVUL_LNC018119)". The record is from RNAcentral. Lineage: Eukaryota; Viridiplantae; Streptophyta; Magnoliopsida; Poales; Poaceae.